CCUACGGGUGGCAGCAGUGAGGAAUAUUGGUCAAUGGGCGCAAGCCUGAACCAGCCAAGUCGCGUGAGGGAUGACGGUCCUAUGGAUUGUAAACCUCUUUUGUCGGGGAGCAAGGCCCGCCACGUGUGGCGGGAAGGAGAGUACCCGAAGAAAAAGCAUCGGCUAACUCCGUGCCAGCAGCCGCGGUAAUACGGAGGAUGCGAGCGGUAUCCGGAUUUCUUGGGUUUAAAGGGUGCGUAGGCGGAAGGUUAAGUCAGCGGUAAAAUGUCGGUGCUCAAGACCGGCCUGCCGUUGAAACUGGUCUUCUUGAGUGAGCGAGAAGUAUGCGGAAUGCGUGGUGUAGCGGUGAAAUGCAUAGAUAUCACGCAGAACUCCGAUUGCGAAGGCAGCAUACCGGCGCUCAACUGACGCUGAGGCACGAAAGCGUGGGGAUCGAACAGGAUUAGAUACCCGAGUAGUC
RNAcentral lists this ribosomal RNA (460 nucleotides) under uncultured bacterium. RNAcentral's name for it is "partial 16S ribosomal RNA". It matches the Rfam family "Bacterial small subunit ribosomal RNA", at positions 338 to 795 of the family's 1533-position model. The record is from RNAcentral.